RNAcentral lists this ribosomal RNA (224 nucleotides) under uncultured bacterium. RNAcentral's name for it is "partial 16S ribosomal RNA". It matches the Rfam family "Bacterial small subunit ribosomal RNA", at positions 28 to 250 of the family's 1533-position model. The record is from RNAcentral.
GACGAACGCUGGCGGCGUGCUUAACACAUGCAAGUCGAGCGGUAAGGCCCUUUCGGGGGUACGACGAGCGGCGAACGGGUGAGUAACACGUGGGUGACCUGCCCUUACGCUCUGGGAUAAGCCUGGGAAACGUGGGUCUAAUACCGGAUAUGACUCCAUAACGCAUGUUGUGGGGUGGAAAGCCUUGUGCGGCUAGGGAUGGGCCCGCGGCCUAUCAGCUUGUU